Molecule: long non-coding RNA, 3422 nt
Filed under: Hordeum vulgare
Lineage: Eukaryota; Viridiplantae; Streptophyta; Magnoliopsida; Poales; Poaceae
Description: long non-coding RNA (HVUL_LNC017040)
Source: RNAcentral
AUGAAGGCAAGUUGCAAGUUGUCAAUAGGAUCUGGACAACACAUGAAGCUUCCACCGUUCAGCUGUGUGUGUGAGAGAGAAAAAGAGGGAGAGGAUGGCUAACAAGAUGAUAGAUUUGAUGCGACGAAUGGGGGUGAAGAGGGUGGGUACCUGUGGUUGAGUGCUCCCCGUCCCACGGUAGUGUUUACUGGCUCUUGGCAUUGAUGAAGAGAAGAAGAGGGGGGAGGGGGGGGGGUCAGCACAAUAGAGGAAUAGAAAAAGAAAAAAGAACACUGAAUAAUAGAUACUGAUUUUUUCUUGUAUUUGUAGGCUGUAACACAGCAAAAGAGGGCUCAGUUUUGUCUUUGAUCUUCAAGCCUAACACUCACAUCUCUUGCUGCAUGACAUACCCAUCACAAUGUAAACGAACUGCCCUGGUUAUCACUCGUCAGAAUGACUAUCUGAGGCGCAGAACAUCCAACAUAAAGCUUAGAAAGAUCGAGGAGGCCAGAUUUAAGCAUUAUAUCAAGUGUUGUUCUAACCUGGCUUGUUCGCAAAUAUUCACAGCUAUGACUCUGCAUCAUCUAAGAAAGCACUUUCUCAAGUGUUGUUCUAACCUGACUUAUUCGCAAAUAUUCACAGCUAUAACUUUGCAUCAUCUAAGAAAGCAUUUUCUCUAAUAUGUAUUACGAAAAACUGAACCUUGAGGAACAGAGUGGAAUGAAUCAAUUCAUCAUAGACACUGCGUAUUAGCAAAUCAUGUAGAUGCACCUCCCACUCCACUUUCUUAUAAGUGCUUCUCAAAUUGAAGAAAAAGGAAGAUCCUAAACUCUAAAAUUGAACCGAACCUUUUGAUUUCCUCGUCAGAUUGCAUGCGUGAGCAUAAACAUCCGGCCCAUGCAUCUAAAUACUACUAAACUCCUAUCCACGGAUAAAUUGCAAACUGGAGCAAGGUAUGCUAAAAUUCAUUUAGCAAGUGACCAAACACAUGGUCAGACCAAAACAAUCAAUUGGCUAUGCCGACGUAUACCUAGCAAUCUAACAGAAAAGGUCCAAAAAGGAGGAGAAGAGGGAUUAACCUGUAGAUCAAUGAAUGUAGACGCAACGGGGUCAAUCGGGUCAGACUAAAGGAGGCACCAGCAAGAGCGGACGGAUCGAUCUGCAAGGAAAACAAGGGGCAAUCAAAGAGGAGGAGCAGCCAACGGUGGCCAAGGAGAGGGCACAACAUACACUGUAAGUGCAUCCAGUGCCCCUUAGUGAUUUCGGUGGUUUGAAGACUUAUAGGUUAAAUAUCUAAUGUGUUUAUAAGUGUACACAUGAUCUAUAAGUCAUUGAGGAGUUUGAGAUAUUUGAAGAAUAUCGACCCCUAAAAAUAUAUGUCUUCAGUUGAAGAAAUUGGUCUGAAGCUGAAGAAAUGAAUCGCGAAGAAUUUGCGAUGAAAUUGAUAUUCCUCAUGAAGAUAUUGAUAUUGAGAAGAUCGGUGGUUCCUGAAGAAAAUCGUUCUGAAGAAAUUGAAGCAUGAAGAUUUACGUUUUCUAUUUUACUUUCUUCGCAUUUGAUGAAUAGGAACACCGUACUGUUAAAGGGGGUGAAAGUAACGCUAUGGAAUGAAUUUCCUCAUGAUGCUCAACCCAAACCAAAUCCUACCAAAAGCCUCAAGUGAGGAAUAUGACUGACAUGAGGACUCUCACAGUUGAGGGUCCCGACCGUUUCGAUAGCCACGCCAAGUCACUGGUCUUAUCCACUCCAACGGUCAUAUUAUUUAAAGGCAUUAAUGUCAAAUCAUGUCGGGAUGCUCCCAGGCUAUAAAUAGCCGCCCCCCACAACCACUAGCUGGUUGGCUGCUCCGUUAGAAACUGACACUUGUCAUAAGAGCAACCCAAAUUCCUCAGAGCUUUCGAGAGUAAAUCAUCAGUGAGGAAAUACACCACCCACCGAAACCACAAACCAAAACUAGUGAUUGAGCAUCACUGAAGAAGUUGUUCCUGUGUGGGACUGAAGCCUUUUACCUUUGAGGACUGUGCAUCCUCCAGACGGUUAGACGUCAUGGUCUAGAGCAAUCCAGCAGUCAAUUGUGGAUCGCCGGGUGACCGAGUUUGUGAGGGUUUGGAAGUCUGCCCUGAAGACUUACCAUGAGUGUUGGGCGAGGACUGUGUGUCCUUAGCUCAAGGAGAAUGCUGUAGGGACUGUGUGUCCUUUGGUUUCAAUACCAAGCCGCUCCAAACCAGAUGUACAACUGUCACAACAGUUGGAACUGGGUCAUCAACAACAGUCUUCUCCAAGAAUCGGGUUCUAAUUCCUCAACUCUUUACUUUCUCUGUAUUAUGUGUUGAUGACUUUCACUGUGACUAUUUGAAGAAUUUGCUGAAGACUUUCUCUGAAUUUCCUCAACCCCAAAUUCUUCACUUGAGUUAAUCAUCAUCUGUAUUCUGCGUGCCUGCUUACUGUGCAAUCUGUUUUCACAUUCUUCACUCUGUAAUACUGCUAUUGUGAAAGUUUGCACGUCUGAUCCGUAACCGUUUCCGCUGUAAGUUAGUCGUCAGUGAGGAAUUUCCUCAAAAGGAAUUUCCUCAGUGAUGAAAUUCUAAAAAUCUCCUAUUCACCCCCCCUCUAGUCGAUAUAACGCACUUUCAUACACAUACCUGUAAGUCAACGACCACAUCAACAGAUCGACGACCCCAGCAACAGAUCCAGCGGAGUGACUAAAUUAGAUGGGACCUGCACGCAAACAAGAUCAUGGAUCAACGAAGAACUGCGUGGAAAACCAACGGGCAGCAAGGAAAGGCAACUCACCUCAACCGGCGCCACCUUGCCCCGCUUUUCCCUGUUGCGCGCGUCCUAUCCUGCUGUGGCAUCGACGAGCGCGCGUCCAGCCAUGACCACCUCGCCUCACCACUCCCCAUCCGUGUGGCUGCUCCUCCACGACUCGGGCAGAAGGGAGGCAGGAAGAGGUAGCGGCUUGGGCCGGAGAGAACGACGACGGAGGAGCGGCCAGGCUCGAGCUCGGCCACGGCCGCCGCUGCGCUCACACGCCCGGCUCGAGCUCGUCCAUGGCUGCCGCUGCUCCCGGCGAUGGGGACGCUCGAGGUUGACGGGGGAGCAGAGACGCUACCGCCGGUGGCGGCCCCUCCAGAGUGCAAGAGGAUGAGCGACGGGGAGGGGGUGAAUGGGGAGGGUGGCGGACGCGAUCUAGGGUUUGGAGAGAAAUCUAUUAUGCAUACAUGUGAUCUUUUCUGUGAGCUGACGAGGUCGCUGGUGGAGGAUUAAGGGCGGGGAAACGCCGUUCGUGGCAAGGACCGUGGCCACCGUGGCCAUGAGGCGGACGAGAAGGGCGACGAGAGGCAUGGAUUGGCCAUGCUGAUAUGAGGGUCGGCGAGGAGGGGAGCGGCAGGAGCGAUGGGGUGGGGGAAGUUGGGGGCUGGGAGUUGGAUGCGUCGUGCGGG